RNAcentral lists this ribosomal RNA (335 nucleotides) under uncultured bacterium. RNAcentral describes it as "bacterial SSU rRNA". It matches the Rfam family "Bacterial small subunit ribosomal RNA", at positions 28 to 334 of the family's 1533-position model. The record is from RNAcentral.
GAUGAACGCUGGCGGCGUGCUUAACACAUGCAAGUCGAACGGAGUUAUCAUUUCAGAAGCAAUUAGCUUGCUGAGAGUGGAAGAGAGGAUAACUUAGUGGCGGACGGGUGAGUAACGCGUGGGGAACCUGCCCUGCACCGGGGGAUAACACCUGGAAACAGGUGCUAAUACCGCAUAAGCGCACGAGGCCGCAUGGCCAGGUGUGAAAAACUAAGGUGGUGCAGGAUGGACCCGCGUCUGAUUAGCUUGUUGGUAGGGUAACGGCCUACCAAGGCGACGAUCAGUAGCCGGCCUGAGAGGGUGAACGGCCACAUUGGGACUGAGACACGGCCCAA